CCAACCUCGCCCCAUGCUCCAGAAUAGCUCUUAGGAAACGGGUGGUAAUGCUGGAUGCUCCAACUUGACGCAUGUCUUGUUGGGAAAGUGUUUAGUGGCAUGGGAUGGGGUCGCGUCCUAUCAGCUUGUAGGCGGGGUAAUGGCCCACCUAGGCUUCGACGGGUAGCCGGCCUGAGAGGGCGGACGGCCACAUUGGGACUGAGAUACGGCCCAGACUCCUACGGGAGGCAGCAGGG
Molecule: ribosomal RNA, 236 nt
Filed under: uncultured Gardnerella sp.
Lineage: Bacteria; Bacillati; Actinomycetota; Actinomycetes; Bifidobacteriales; Bifidobacteriaceae
Description: partial 16S ribosomal RNA
Rfam family: Bacterial small subunit ribosomal RNA
Source: RNAcentral